RNAcentral lists this ribosomal RNA (582 nucleotides) under Vibrio parahaemolyticus. RNAcentral's name for it is "partial 23S ribosomal RNA". It matches the Rfam family "Bacterial large subunit ribosomal RNA", at positions 536 to 1119 of the family's 2925-position model. The record is from RNAcentral. Lineage: Bacteria; Pseudomonadati; Pseudomonadota; Gammaproteobacteria; Vibrionales; Vibrionaceae.
GAGUGAAAUAGAACCUGAAACCGUGUACGUACAAGCAGUGGGAGCACCUUCGGGUGUGACUGCGUACCUUUUGUAUAAUGGGUCAGCGACUUAUAUUCUGUAGCAAGGUUAACCGCAUAGGGGAGCCGUAGGGAAACCGAGUCUUAACUGGGCGAAUGAGUUGCAGGGUAUAGACCCGAAACCCGGUGAUCUAGCCAUGGGCAGGUUGAAGGUUGGGUAACACUAACUGGAGGACCGAACCGACUAAUGUUGAAAAAUUAGCGGAUGACUUGUGGCUGGGGGUGAAAGGCCAAUCAAACCGGGAGAUAGCUGGUUCUCCCCGAAAGCUAUUUAGGUAGCGCCUCGUGAACUCAUCUUCGGGGGUAGAGCACUGUUUCGACUAGGGGGUCAUCCCGACUUACCAACUCGAUGCAAACUACGAAUACCGAAGAAUGUUAUCACGGGAGACACACGGCGGGUGCUAACGUUCGUCGUGAAGAGGGAAACAACCCAGACCGCCAGCUAAGGUCCCAAAGUCAUGGUUAAGUGGGAAACGAAGUGGGAAGGCUCAGACAGCCAGGAUGUUGGCUUAGAAGCAGCCAU